RNAcentral lists this ribosomal RNA (432 nucleotides) under uncultured bacterium. RNAcentral describes it as "partial 16S ribosomal RNA". It matches the Rfam family "Bacterial small subunit ribosomal RNA", at positions 29 to 506 of the family's 1533-position model. The record is from RNAcentral.
AACGAACGCUGGCGGCAUGCCUAACACAUGCAAGUCGAACGAGACCUUCGGGUCUAGUUGCGCACGGGUGCGUAACGCGUGGGAACCUGCCCUUAGGUUCGGAAUAACUCCCCUAAGGGGGGGCUAAUACCGGAUAAUUUCUUCUAACCAAGGAUUUAUCGCCUUUGGGUGGGCCCGCGUUGGUUUAGCUAGUUGGUAGGGUAAAAGCCGACCAAGGCGACGAUCCAUAGCUGGUCUGAGAGGAUGAUCAGCAACACUGGGACUGAGACACGGCCCAGACUCGUACGGGAGGCAGCAGGGGGGAAUAUGGGAAACUGGGCGAAAGCCUGAUCCAGUAAUGCCGCGUGAGUGAUGAAGGGCGUAGGUUUGUAAAGCUCUUUUAACCGCGAUGAUAAUGAGAGUACCGGGAGAAGAAGCUCCGGCAAACUCCGU